This 278-nucleotide ribosomal RNA is filed under the name uncultured Treponema sp. Its description in RNAcentral is "partial 16S ribosomal RNA". It matches the Rfam family "Bacterial small subunit ribosomal RNA", at positions 511 to 788 of the family's 1533-position model. Lineage: Bacteria; Pseudomonadati; Spirochaetota; Spirochaetia; Treponematales; Treponemataceae. The record is from RNAcentral.
GCAGCCGCGGUAAUACGUAGGUGGCAAGCGUUGUCCGGAUUUACUGGGUGUAAAGGGCGUGUAGGCGGGACUGUAAGUCAGAUGUGAAAUGUCGGGGCUCAACCCCGGAGCUGCAUCUGAAACUGUGGUUCUUGAGUGCCGGAGAGGAAAGCGGAAUUCCUAGUGUAGCGGUGAAAUGCGUAGAUAUUAGGAGGAACACCAGUGGCGAAGGCGGCUUUCUGGACGGUAACUGACGCUGAGGCGCGAAAGCGUGGGGAGCAAACAGGAUUAGAUACCCC